Peromyscus californicus insignis is the source of this 2331-nucleotide long non-coding RNA. RefSeq lists it as uncharacterized. Lineage: Eukaryota; Metazoa; Chordata; Mammalia; Rodentia; Cricetidae. The record is from RefSeq and is a predicted model, not a curated record. The transcript is spliced from 2 exons.
AACUGCUCUGGAAAACACCACAUGGUCUGCUCUGCCAUGGUGAGGUGACCAGGUGGGCAGUCACCAUCUUGACUAAGGUUAAAAGGAGAGUCAUCACCUCACCACCAUCUUUAGUAAGGGUGAUGGGUCCACCAGGAGACAUCAGGUCUUCGAAUUAUUUUGGAUUAAAUAGAUUUCUAUGUGAUAAUUCCUGUCCUGUCCUAAAAACAAGGUUUGUAAAAGAUAGAAUUUAAAAGAAUGCUGGUUUACUGAGAUAUUAAAGCUGCACCUCUGUGUUCAUGUACAGGGAUGACUCUUGCUGGCAGCCAGAUUGUGUAACCUAAGAAUAAGCCCGUUGAUAUUGAAACUAAAUUGUUUGCAUUGUUGAAACUUGGUUUUGCCUUAUAUAUCUUAGGACCACAGCUAAACGCCAGAGACUGAGAUAUUCCUAUUUGAUGAUACCUAGUCUCUCUCCUUCUUUUACUAACAUUAGUAAGCUGUAACUAAUUGGGAAAAUUGUAUGUUCAGAUUUACCUUAUAUAUGCUCUCAAAGUUAAGCACAAACAUUUGUCUAAUUUAGAUAUACCUAAAAGAUUUUGUUCCCCUGAUCCUCAAAUACCUUUAGAGAUCUGAGAAUAUGGCAUUUAAUAUGAAAGCUUUUUAUGAUAGAGAGACAUGCCAGCUCCUGGCAGAAUCCUGUAUCUCCUCCAAGAAGAUGGAUGGCCACGGAAGAGCUGUCACCUGGAGGCUUGCUUUGGAUGUGGCAACGCCAGCCACCGAGCAAAACACUACCUUUCACCCCAGCCGCUACCUAGAUCCUGCCAGGACUGGAUAACAUGCGGCAAAGUCAAGGUGGGUCAGUCUCCCCAAAUGCCUACUCCAAAAAAAAAAUCUGUCAGAUCUUCUGUGCUUAGCAGCUAAACUGGGACUUAUGGCCCCUACCCCCCAACAACCAUGUAGAGACUUGGGAGUGCCUAGGUAGCUGGAAAGCUGUCUCACUCCUGCUCAUUUACUUGUCCUUCUCAGAUCUGAUGGUGUUUGAUGACCAGGGUAUUAAUAGAUUUGCCAGUUUUAGAGCUCUCCCCCCGCCCCUCCAACCCCAAGGCUACAAGCACCUUGGUAGCUCAUUAGUAAGUUUCCUGUUAAAAGUACAGACAGAUGUGCCUCAUUCACAGACUUCAUGGUACAGGAUAAACUGGUUUCCAAUGUAACUUCAGAGGUUCAAAGUUUUAGCAUUGAUAAAUGCAGUUCUGAUAAACUGAUAGAGUACUGACUACAAACUAUUUUCAGGAGUCCUUAAGUUUCUAGCCCUUUGCUAUGACACCAAGAUAUAAAUCUGUUGCAGUUGUUUUAGACACCUGCAGGUUCCGGCACAGGUCCGCCCCUCCUGCCAUACUCAUGCCAAGGCCAACCCACAAGGGGUCCUGCAGAUAUGCCAGCCCCUGUACCAGCUCUGAAGACACUAACCAGGAUGGAAAGAAGCACUUCCCAUCUCCAGAAAAACAGCAAAUGUGACGGCUCCUGUACCCCCGGAACACAUCACCCCUCGAUUUGGUGUGCCAUCCCUCCAAGCUCCUGGGACUUCACUGCUGGUACCACCACUCCAGACUCAAGAGCAUAUCAACUCUUUCGUCUGGCUCAUUCACCCUUGCCUCUUCUGUACAACCAGGGCACAUCUCCAUUUCAUUCUCUCCGACAGUUAUCACUCUUCCCAUGGCUAGCCCAGCUCAUGGGCCCAUGAUAACAAUCUAUUUUUUCUCCUAGCAGCCUGCCUUCUCAGUUCCCUCAAGGAACAGAUGCCUGAGUUCUCCAUGAUGACAGCUAACUGAGUGCUUCUUCACUCACACCUCCCUCUGUGCAUGACCCUAACUCCCAACUUCCCUCUUCCCACUUCGUCCCAAGUCAGCAGGAAGCAGUCUCAAGAACUCAGCUCCCCAUUCCCACCUCACGUGCUACCCGAUUCUAACUCCUCACCUUUUAAUAAUAAACAAAAGGGGAAAUAUUAGCAUUUAGAUGUUACCUGGCCAACCCUUUGGGAACCUAGCCAGUAGGCAGGCAGUACCUUGGCCCGCUCAGGGUCCUGACAAUGUCCUCCUACAUAGCCCCAUUUGCAUAGCCCAUUUGUACAUAUUCUAAGCCUGCUUUAAGAGGUGGGCUCUGCCCACCUUUCUCUCUCUCUCUUCCUUUCUCUUCCCAUGAGGCUGCUCCUGCACCUUCUCUCUUCCCCCUUUCCAUCUCUUCUCUUCCCUCUUCCUCUCUCAUUCCUCCUCUCUCCUCAGCCUUUAUCUCCAGAGGUGCACUCUGCAUCCCUUCCCUUCCCUUCCCUUAAUAAAAUCCUCUGUGAGUGCUGUC